RNAcentral lists this unclassified non-coding RNA (260 nucleotides) under Hevea brasiliensis (rubber tree). The record is from RNAcentral. Lineage: Eukaryota; Viridiplantae; Streptophyta; Magnoliopsida; Malpighiales; Euphorbiaceae.
AUCUUUGUGGACGCUGAUAAAGACAAUUAUCUGAAUUACCACAAGAGAUUGAUUGAGCUGGUCAAAGUUGGUGGAGUGAUCGGGUACGACAAUACCCUAUGGAAUGGGUCUGUGGUGGCACCACCUGAUGCACCCCUCAGGAAAUAUGUUAAGUACUACAGAGACUUUGUGAUGGAGCUCAACAAGGCCUUACCGGCGGACCCCAGAAUUGAGAUCUGCAUGCUCCCUGUUGGUGAUGGGAUCACUCUCUGCCGUCGGAU